GAUGAACGCUGGCGGCGUGCCUAAUACAUGCAAGUCGAGCGAACAGACGAGGAGCUUGCUCCUCUGACGUUAGCGGCGGACGGGUGAGUAACACGUGGAUAACCUACCUAUAAGACUGGGAUAACUUCGGGAAACCGGCGCUAAUACCGGAUAAUAUAUUGAACCGCAUGGUUCAAUAGUGAAAGACGGUUUUGCUGUCACUUAUAGAUGGAUCCGCGCCGCAUUAGCUAGUUGGUAAGGUAACGGCUUACCAAGGCAACGAUGCGUAGCCGACCUGAGAGGGUGAUCGGCCACACUGGAACUUGGCCACGGUCCAGGCUCCUACGGGAGGCAGCAGUAGGGAAUCUUCCGCAAUGGGCGAAAGCCUGACGGAGCAACGCCGCGUGAGUGAUGAAGGUCUUCGGAUCGUAAAACUCUGUUAUUAGGGAAGAACAAAUGUGUAAGUAACUAUGCACGUCUUGACGGUACCUAAUCAGAAAGCCACGGCUAACUACGUG
This 497-nucleotide ribosomal RNA is filed under the name uncultured bacterium. RNAcentral's name for it is "partial 16S ribosomal RNA". It matches the Rfam family "Bacterial small subunit ribosomal RNA", at positions 28 to 507 of the family's 1533-position model. The record is from RNAcentral.